GACGGAGGAUGCAAGCGUUAUCCGGAAUGAUUGGGCGUAAAGCGUCCGCAGGUGGCAGUUCAAGUCUGCUGUCAAAGACCGGGGCUUAACUUCGGAAAGGCAGUGGAAACUGAACAGCUAGAGUAUGGUAGGGGCAGAGGGAAUUCCUGGUGUAGCGGUGAAAUGCGCAGAUAUCAGGAGGAACACCGGUGGCGAAGGCGGAUCUCUGGGCCUGUCCUGACGCUGAGGCGCGAAAGCUAGGGGAGCGAACAGG
RNAcentral lists this ribosomal RNA (253 nucleotides) under uncultured bacterium. Its description in RNAcentral is "partial 16S ribosomal RNA". It matches the Rfam family "Bacterial small subunit ribosomal RNA", at positions 524 to 776 of the family's 1533-position model. The record is from RNAcentral.